Cricetulus griseus (Chinese hamster) is the source of this 653-nucleotide non-coding RNA. Lineage: Eukaryota; Metazoa; Chordata; Mammalia; Rodentia; Cricetidae. The record is from RefSeq and is a predicted model, not a curated record.
UUCAUAGAUUGGUGUUUAUGUUUGCCUAUGGAAUUUCUCUGUACAGUCACUGGCAUGGAGGAAGGAAGAUAAGCCAGAAGUCACACUGAGCAUAUCUGUGAAGACUUGGGUGUGGACACAUCCAGAGGAAGUAGGUUACUGUGGUUCCAGGGAGAGUACCUUCCAACUUGGAUGUGUUGUAGAAGCUCUGCUGGAUAAGAAUCCCUGCAGAGUAAUCUCAUGGCCUCUCUCCAGAGGAAGCUGCUAUUUCUUUAUCCUGUGAAGCAUAAAGAAUGUUUUGUGGCAUAUCUGAGGAAUAAAUAUGGCUCUUUGUGCAUCUGCUUUGCUUUGUGAGCAGAAUUUUUAUAUAUAUUCUAGGCCACAGGCAUGAUCUUUCUCAUGUAAGCAGCAGCACAUGCAGUCUUACUUACUUGUGAAAUGAGCAUGGAAAGUUAACUCAAGCUGCACUCAGGAGGGAAUAGUGUCCACCAUAAGGUCAAAACCCUUCUAUGUGAAGUCCUCUUCAGCAUCUGAUAUUCUGACUCAGAAAAUGGAGUCUUUUCAGGCACUGAAAGUUUUGCUUCUCUCCUUUCAAAUCCUGACUUGCCAAGAGGAGUGCCAAGAGAAGCUUCUCAGUUUCAGGAGGUACCAUGCCAAGUCAUACAGCCACUUUG